This 1537-nucleotide ribosomal RNA is filed under the name Escherichia coli. RNAcentral describes it as "bacterial SSU rRNA". It matches the Rfam family "Bacterial small subunit ribosomal RNA". Lineage: Bacteria; Pseudomonadati; Pseudomonadota; Gammaproteobacteria; Enterobacterales; Enterobacteriaceae. The record is from RNAcentral.
UUGAAGAGUUUGAUCAUGGCUCAGAUUGAACGCUGGCGGCAGGCCUAACACAUGCAAGUCGAACGGUAACAGGAAGCAGCUUGCUGCUUCGCUGACGAGUGGCGGACGGGUGAGUAAUGUCUGGGAAACUGCCUGAUGGAGGGGGAUAACUACUGGAAACGGUAGCUAAUACCGCAUAACGUCGCAAGACCAAAGAGGGGGACCUUCGGGCCUCUUGCCAUCGGAUGUGCCCAGAUGGGAUUAGCUUGUUGGUGGGGUAACGGCUCACCAAGGCGACGAUCCCUAGCUGGUCUGAGAGGAUGACCAGCCACACUGGAACUGAGACACGGUCCAGACUCCUACGGGAGGCAGCAGUGGGGAAUAUUGCACAAUGGGCGCAAGCCUGAUGCAGCCAUGCCGCGUGUAUGAAGAAGGCCUUCGGGUUGUAAAGUACUUUCAGCGGGGAGGAAGGGAGUAAAGUUAAUACCUUUACUCAUUGACGUUACCCGCAGAAGAAGCACCGGCUAACUCCGUGCCAGCAGCCGCGGUAAUACGGAGGGUGCAAGCGUUAAUCGGAAUUACUGGGCGUAAAGCGCACGCAGGCGGUUUGUUAAGUCAGAUGUGAAAUCCCCGGGCUCAACCUGGGAACUGCAUCUGAUACUGGCAAGCUUGAGUCUCGUAGAGGGGGGUAGAAUUCCGGUGUAGCGGUGAAAUGCGUAGAGAUCUGGAGGAAUACCGGUGGCGAAGGCGGCCCCCUGGACGAAGACUGACGCUCAGGUGCGAAAGCGUGGGGAGCAAACAGGAUUAGAUACCCUGGUAGUCCACGCCGUAAACGAUGUCGACUUGGAGGUUGUGCCCUUGAGGCGUGGCUUCCGGAGCUAACGCGUUAAGUCGACCGCCUGGGGAGUACGGCCGCAAGGUUAAAACUCAAAUGAAUUGACGGGGGCCCGCACAAGCGGUGGAGCAUGUGGUUUAAUUCGAUGCAACGCGAAGAACCUUACCUGGUCUUGACAUCCACGGAAGUUUUCAGAGAUGAGAAUGUGCCUUCGGGAACCGUGAGACAGGUGCUGCAUGGCUGUCGUCAGCUCGUGUUGUGAAAUGUUGGGUUAAGUCCCGCAACGAGCGCAACCCUUAUCCUUUGUUGCCAGCGGUCCGGCCGGGAACUCAAAGGAGACUGCCAGUGAUAAACUGGAGGAAGGUGGGGAUGACGUCAAGUCAUCAUGGCCCUUACGACCAGGGCUACACACGUGCUACAAUGGCGCAUACAAAGAGAAGCGACCUCGCGAGAGCAAGCGGACCUCAUAAAGUGCGUCGUAGUCCGGAUUGGAGUCUGCAACUCGACUCCAUGAAGUCGGAAUCGCUAGUAAUCGUGGAUCAGAAUGCCACGGUGAAUACGUUCCCGGGCCUUGUACACACCGCCCGUCACACCAUGGGAGUGGGUUGCAAAAGAAGUAGGUAGCUUAACCUUCGGGAGGGCGCUUACCACUUUGUGAUUCAUGACUGGGGUGAAGUCGUAACAAGGUAACCGUAGGGGAACCUGCGGUUGGAUCACCUCCUU